This 253-nucleotide ribosomal RNA is filed under the name uncultured bacterium. Its description in RNAcentral is "partial 16S ribosomal RNA". It matches the Rfam family "Bacterial small subunit ribosomal RNA", at positions 524 to 776 of the family's 1533-position model. The record is from RNAcentral. RNAcentral also lists the same sequence under 1 other name.
UACGUAGGGUGCAAGCAUUAAUCGGAAUUAUUGGGCGUAAAGGGCGCGUAGGCGGAUUGAUAAGUCAGAUGUGAAAUACCAAAGCUCAACUUUGGUGCUGCAUUUGAAACUGUCUCUCUAGAGGAUUGACGGAGAAAGGGGAAUUCCACGUGUAGCGGUGAAAUGCGUAGAUACGUGGAGGAACACCGGUGGCGAAAGCGCCUUUCUAGUUUAGACCUGACGCUGAGGCGCGAGAGCAAGGGGAGCAAACAGG